RNAcentral lists this ribosomal RNA (253 nucleotides) under uncultured bacterium. Its description in RNAcentral is "partial 16S ribosomal RNA". It matches the Rfam family "Bacterial small subunit ribosomal RNA", at positions 524 to 776 of the family's 1533-position model. The record is from RNAcentral.
UACGAAGGGUGCAAGCGUUACUCGGAAUUACUGGGCGUAAAGCGUGCGUAGGUGGUUCGUUAAGUCUGUCGUGAAAGCCCCGGGCUCAACCUGGGAAUGGCGAUGGAUACUGGCGGGCUAGAGUGCGGUAGAGGAGAGUGGAAUUCCCGGUGUAGCGGUGGAAUGCGCAGAUAUCAGGAAGAACACCCGUGGCGAAGGCGGCUCUCUGGAACGCAACUGACGCUGAGACGCGAAAGCGUGGGGAGCAAACAGG